UAGGGAAUCUUCGGCAAUGGGGGCAACCCUGACCGAGCAACGCCGCGUGAGUGAAGAAGGUUUUCGGAUCGUAAAGCUCUGUUGUAAGAGAAGAACGUGUGUGAGAGUGGAAAGUUCACACAGUGACGGUAACUUACCAGAAAGGGACGGCUAACUACGUGCCAGCAGCCGCGGUAAUACGUAGGUCCCGAGCGUUGUCCGGAUUUAUUGGGCGUAAAGCGAGCGCAGGCGGUUUAAUAAGUCUGAAGUAAAAGGCAGUGGCUUAACCAUUGUUCGCUUUGGAAACUGUUAAACUUGAGUGCAGAAGGGGAGAGUGGAAUUCCAUGUGUAGCGGUGAAAUGCGUAGAUAUAUGGAGGAACACCGGUGGCGAAAGCGGCUCUCUGGUCUGUAACUGACGCUGAGGCUCGAAAGCGUGGGGAGCAAACAGG
Molecule: ribosomal RNA, 429 nt
Filed under: bacterium
Lineage: Bacteria
Description: partial 16S ribosomal RNA
Rfam family: Bacterial small subunit ribosomal RNA
Source: RNAcentral